This 380-nucleotide long non-coding RNA is filed under the name Volvox carteri. Its description in RNAcentral is "long non-coding RNA (VCAR_LNC000174)". The record is from RNAcentral. Lineage: Eukaryota; Viridiplantae; Chlorophyta; Chlorophyceae; Chlamydomonadales; Volvocaceae.
GCACGUUAGAGCCUGGCUUUCUUUUCAUUAACUUAACCUCGUAGCUUGCGCUGGGCGAGAGUUCACUGGGGCGGGGACACGAGCGCGCCCAGUAUGUCCUCCCCAAAUCCAUGCCCGCCAGCGUCCGUGUCCCCGGCUGUAGGUGCUGUCGGCGUGUCAGGCGCAUGCUCGUGCGACGGCCUGGUCUCUGGCCUGCCAAAUGUGGAGAACUGAGGGUCUUAAGGUGCGGUGCACGGGCGGAUCACGGCAAUACGCCAACGGGUGCAGGCAGCUUGUCGCUAAUUCCGGGAUGGAAGCGUGGGACUUGCCCCACGCCCCAACUCACGCGAUAUGGGUCGAUGGCGUUGCUCUUUCCAGGCAUACAGUCACGUGGCUUUGAA